RNAcentral lists this microRNA precursor (59 nucleotides) under Xenopus laevis (African clawed frog). RNAcentral's name for it is "Xla-Mir-430-o6a_pre stem-loop". The record is from RNAcentral. Lineage: Eukaryota; Metazoa; Chordata; Amphibia; Anura; Pipidae.
AGCCAGACUGGGGCCCUCUCUUGUUAUCAGUGGGAGUAAGUGCUUUCUAGUUUGGUUAU